AUUGAACGCUGGCGGCAUGCCUUACACAUGCAAGUCGAACGGCAGCGCGGGGCAACCUGGCGGCGAGUGGCGAACGGGUGAGUAAUAUAUCGGAACAUACCCUAGAGUGGGGGAUAACGUAGCGAAAGUUACGCUAAUACCGCAUACGCACUAAGGUGGAAAGUGGGGGAUUCGCAAGAACCUCAUGCUCAUGGAGUGGCCGAUAUCUGAUUAGCUAGUUGGUGAGGUAAAGGCUCACCAAGGCGACGAUCAGUAGCUGGUUUGAGAGAACGACCAGCCACACUGGAACUGAGACACGGUCCAGACUCCUACGGAGGCAGCAGUGGGAAUUUUGGACAAUGGGGGCAACCCUGAUCCAGCAAUGCCGCGUGAGUGAAGAAGGCC
RNAcentral lists this ribosomal RNA (384 nucleotides) under uncultured bacterium. RNAcentral describes it as "bacterial SSU rRNA". It matches the Rfam family "Bacterial small subunit ribosomal RNA", at positions 30 to 416 of the family's 1533-position model. The record is from RNAcentral.